This 393-nucleotide ribosomal RNA is filed under the name uncultured bacterium. RNAcentral describes it as "partial 16S ribosomal RNA". It matches the Rfam family "Bacterial small subunit ribosomal RNA", at positions 523 to 918 of the family's 1533-position model. The record is from RNAcentral.
AUACGGAGGAUCCAAGCGUUUUCCGGAUUAAUUGGGUUUAAAGGGUGCGUAGGCGGACUGGUAAGUCAGCUGUGAAAGUUUGCGGCUUAACCGUAAAAUUGCAGUUGAUACUGUCAGUCUUGAGUGGGCAUGAGGUGGGCGGAAUUUGUGGUGUAGCGGGGAAAUGCUUAGAUAUCACGAGGAACUCCAAUUGCGAAGGCAGCUCACUGGGGCAUAACUGACGCUGAUGCACGAAGGUGUGGGUAUCAAACAGGAUUAGAUACCCUGGUAGUCCACACAGUAAACUAUGAAUACUCGCUGUUUGCGAUAUACAGUAAGCGGCCAAGCGAAAGCAUUAAGUAUUCCACCUGGGGAGUACGCCGGCAACGGUGAAACUCAAAUGAAUUGGCGGGG